RNAcentral lists this ribosomal RNA (253 nucleotides) under uncultured bacterium. RNAcentral's name for it is "partial 16S ribosomal RNA". It matches the Rfam family "Bacterial small subunit ribosomal RNA", at positions 524 to 776 of the family's 1533-position model. The record is from RNAcentral.
UACGUAGGGUGCGAGCGUUGUCCGGAAUUAUUGGGCGUAAAGAGCUCGUAGGCGGUCUGUCGCGUCUGCUGUGAAAUCCCGAGGCUCAACCUCGGGCUUGCAGUGGGUACGGGCAGGCUAGAGUGCGGUAGGGGAGAAUGGAACUCCUGGUGUAGCGGUGAAAUGCGUAGAUAUCAAGAGGAACACCAGUGGCGAAGGCGAGUCCCUGGACAACACCUGACACUGAGGCACGAAAGCUAGGGGAGCAAACAGG